CUCCUCUUUUAGGAUUGGCUGCCCCUAAUAUAAUUAAAAACAAGAGAGGAAAAAAAAAAAACUUUUAUCAUGGAGGCAGAGGUUAUUGCAAGUGUUUAGCAGAUGCAGUACGGCAAAAUCUUCUUUUUAAAUAAACUCAUUAAAACAAAAUAUUGGAGCAUUUCAACCCAGCUUGCUGAGUUAAUGUACAUACCAGGACAUGUAUUCAUCCGAACCAGUUAUAUGCCUGAAAUCAGUUGCAUGCUUGUUUAACUAGCCUGAUUGGAAUAAUGCAAUAAAUUAGGCUUCUGCAUCCACCGGUUAAGUCUUUUCGAAUUGGAUGAGCAAGAAGAGCAAGAGACGAGAAAAGUCUCUUAGUAACAUAGUGGAACUGAGUACAUGGCAUUUUGUCAUGCACAGCUCAGCGGAUGAUCUGUGCCAGCAGGAGGAAUCCUACGGAGGGCGCAGUUCAGCAGCAGCGUCUUCACCUUCCCUAAGUGCACAGGAGCUAAAGAACCAUUUUACUAGAUACUUUAAGACUAUCCUUUUGAUCUCCGUCCAGCCAUAGGAUUCAGACAGGCGAUAAUUGAGCAUAACCCGGCCUUUUGUCUCCCAGCAUCUCAAUCAAGCUGCAUAGCUGAGCGACGGUGUCAACCUCCCCGCCCCAAUUCGCGAUCAGAUCGGAGAGGGAGAGGCUUCUUUCCUGCGCACAGGGGAGCCCAACCCGCGAAGCAGCUCGCACAUUCGCUUCACAUUUGAACGCAGUCCCUUUAAAGAUCUCGAUCGGGGUGGGCUAUACGGUACAUGCAUGUCCUUGCAGCAAAGGACUUUACUUCCUCCACUGCUGAAAUCAGUAUCUGUAUUGCUCUGGUGAAGGAAACCCCCUUCUUUGCAAAUGUAACCGUCACCGGGUGAAAACCCCUCCCCCCCACACACUUUCCCCCUUCUUUUGGUCUUGCAAGCGUGUGAUAAGCUCCUACAGGUCCGGAAAGGGUUAACUGCUGGUCCUCCACCUCCUUCACUCUCCUGGAGCCCCCUGAAUGCCACCGCUUUCCUCUAGAGGUCUCAUUAGGGAAACCCUAACUGCUAUUUUCAACAUUUCCUCAAUCAAGCGUCUUUAAAUAUAGCUCCACAAACAAAUUGGCGGCAAAAAGCGUAGAUCUUGUCACGAGUGAGACCAAUCCAAUAUUUCACCCUUGUUUGCUUUGUAAUUACUGGAUGGCUUGUGGCUACCUCCUUGCCCCACUGGGGCAAACUCCCCCCCGCCCGCUCUUUUUCACCCUUUAAAGUGUGGGAUGAACCAGCCUGUUGUGCUACUAAACCAGUGAUCUCAGAAAUAAAACCCCCUUCACAAAUGCAGCCUUCGGGCCAUUCACCGCAGUUCCUGGCUUGCUAGCUAGGCUUGUGAUUUUUCCAAGCCACACUCUCUGCUCCGACAGCAUUUUUGUUGCAGGUCACACACUCGCAAGCUGUGCCCUUGCAGGUAUUUGUAAGUGGUUAGUCUUUGCUUUACUGGAAUGAAUCUCUCUGUCUCUCUGUUAAACUGCUACUUUGAUUUGUUAUAUUUUCCACAGCGCUUAUUCUUGUUUGACUGUUGUACAAAGCUGCUUUAAAUCUGCUGCAGGGAGAAUAAAACUUCAAGCUGCUUGAAUGGAUUCCUAUAGACUUGUGGGCUAGCCCUGGCCCACUUUAGUUCCUGCCUAGCAAUCCCUCUGCGUAAAUCAGGCCUGGAGUAAGGUUGAUGUCUGCAGUCAGGAGCAACAAUCAACUAGCUAAUAUCAACAAAAACAGUAGUUAACUCAAAUUAUGUUCUAAGCCUUGCAUUUAACAGAGAAAAGGCAGGCUGCGCACUAUUAACAAAGCUGUUAUAUUUACUUUGCUGUGAACUGAGAGAACUUUUAUGAUAAAGGCAAAUAAUAGAACACAAAAGGGAACUAUGACCAUAAAUCUCUUUUUAUGGAUUCUCUCUCUAGCAGAAAAACACAGUAAUUCAACAAUUUUAUGAUUCAGAUAUUUUGCAGAUACAUUUGAAGUUAUUUAUAUAGGAAAGUAGGAAUAUCACACACACACACACCUUUCUUGAUUUAUAGGGGCCUGAUUCGGCUCCUACUGAAUUCAGCAACAAAACUCUCAUUGACAACCAUGGGAGCAGGGUUGAUUCCUAUCAGUAGAUAGCGCACAUAUGAUCACUGUGGGUACACAUUCUAAGAUUAGUUGCAGUGUUGUUUGUCUCAUAUAAAGCAUCUUUUUAAAAUUUACACAUUUACAUGGAAUUAUAAUUCUGGAAUAAUUCUAUAAUCUAAUCUAAAAUGGACAUACUGAAUUGUCUCUUCUCUUUUUGCCCCAGAAUCACUAAUGUUUGAGAUUGUUAAGCCACCCAAUGCAAUAAAAAGAUAUUAAGUACAUAAUGUCUUCAGAGAAUUUACAUGCUCAGAAUCAAGUCCUACUAUAAAACAACUUUAAUAUUUCAUAAAGCUGUUUCAUUUGCUACUAGCAUAGAAUGUUAGCUUCUAUUUCACUAGGGAGAUUUUGAUUAAUUCUGCUUUCUGUGCCUUAUUCUGGUUCCUGUUUACUGUCAUAAUGCAACAUCCUGCAUUCCUUGAACACCCAGGCCAACAAUUUAAGUGAACAGGAGAGCAAGGAAUGCAGGGUGGGACCUAUAGUUUGUCACCUGGUUUAAUACUGCAGACCUGGGAAAUGAUAUUUCCCCUAGAAUCCUUUUCUCAACACACUAUGUAUAUAACACCCACAGGCGCACACCCACACCUUCAGUACUAUCACUGACC
This is a long non-coding RNA of Caretta caretta (loggerhead turtle), 2765 nucleotides long. RefSeq lists it as uncharacterized. Lineage: Eukaryota; Metazoa; Chordata; Testudines; Cheloniidae. The record is from RefSeq and is a predicted model, not a curated record.